GGAGGGUGCGAGCGUUAUCCGGAAUUACUGGGUUUAAAGGGUGCGUAGGCGGCUAUGUAAGUCAGGAGUGAAAGUUUGCGGCUCAACCGUAAAAUUGCUUUUGAUACUGCAUGGCUGGAAUCAGGAUGAGGUCAGCGGAAUGUGGCAUGUAGCGGUGAAAUGCAUAGAUAUGCCAUAGAACACCAAUUGCGAAGGCAGCUGGCUAGACCUGUAUUGACGCUGAGGCACGAAAGCGUGGGGAGCGAACAGGAUUAGAUACCCUGGUAGUCCACGCCCUAAACGAUGCUUACUCGACGUAUGAAGCUUGUCUUUGUGCGUCCAAGGGAAACCGUUAAGUAAGCCACCUGGGGAGUACGACCGCAAGGUUG
RNAcentral lists this ribosomal RNA (368 nucleotides) under uncultured bacterium. RNAcentral's name for it is "bacterial SSU rRNA". It matches the Rfam family "Bacterial small subunit ribosomal RNA", at positions 527 to 896 of the family's 1533-position model. The record is from RNAcentral.